GAUGAACGCUAGCUACAGGCUUAACACAUGCAAGUCGAGGGACCGGCGCAUGGGUGAGUAACACGUAUCCAACCUGCCCUUUACUCGGGGAUAGCCUUUCGAAAGAAAGAUUAAUACCCGAUGUAAAGGAUGGGGAUGCGUUCCAUUAGGUUGUUGGUGAGGUAACGGCUCACAAAGCCUUCGAUGGGUAGGGGUUCUGAGAGGAAGGUCCCCCACAAUGGAACUGAGACACGGUCCAAACGACUACGGGAGGCAUCAGGGAGGAAGAUUGGUCAAUGGGCGUUAGCCUGAACCAGCCAAGUAGCGUGAAGGAGGAAGGCUUAUGGGUCGUAAACUUCUUUUAUAUAAGAAUAUGUAUUAUAUUAAUAAGGAUCGGCUAACUCCGUGCCAGCCGCCGCGGUAAUUC
This 406-nucleotide ribosomal RNA is filed under the name uncultured bacterium. RNAcentral's name for it is "partial 16S ribosomal RNA". It matches the Rfam family "Bacterial small subunit ribosomal RNA", at positions 28 to 526 of the family's 1533-position model. The record is from RNAcentral.